GGCCGGGUACGCAAACAGGCAAAGCGGCGAGCGUGAGAGGCUCGUGAUGAUGUGGGUUCGAUUCCCACCCCGGUCACUA
This 79-nucleotide transfer RNA is filed under the name Fuerstiella sp. RNAcentral's name for it is "tRNA-Leu". It matches the Rfam family "tRNA". Rfam says of the family: Transfer RNA (tRNA) molecules are approximately 80 nucleotides in length. RNAcentral also lists the same sequence under 1 other name. Lineage: Bacteria; Pseudomonadati; Planctomycetota; Planctomycetia; Planctomycetales; Planctomycetaceae. The record is from RNAcentral.